ACGGGUAUAGUUCAAUGGUAGAAUAGAGGUCUCCAAAACCUUUGAUCUGGGUUCGAAUCCUAGUACCCGUG
This 71-nucleotide transfer RNA is filed under the name Chitinophagaceae bacterium. RNAcentral's name for it is "tRNA-Trp". It matches the Rfam family "tRNA". Rfam says of the family: Transfer RNA (tRNA) molecules are approximately 80 nucleotides in length. Their secondary structure includes four short double-helical elements and three loops (D, anti-codon, and T loops). Lineage: Bacteria; Pseudomonadati; Bacteroidota; Chitinophagia; Chitinophagales; Chitinophagaceae. RNAcentral also lists the same sequence under 7 other names. The record is from RNAcentral.